CUUGGUCAUUUAGAGGAAGUAAAAGUCGUAACAAGGACCCGUAGGUGAACCUGCGGAAGGAUCAUUAAAGAGUAAGGGUGCUCAGCGCCCGACCUCCAACCCUUUGUUGUUAAAACUACCUUGUUGCUUUGGCGGGACCGCUCGGUUCCGAGCCGCUGGGGAUUCGUCCCAGGCGAGUGCCCGCCAGAAUUAAACCAAACUCUUGUUAUUAAACCGGUCGUCUGAGUUAAAAUUUUGAAUAAAUCAAAACUUUCAACAACGGAUCUCUUGGUUCUCGCAUCGAUGAAGAACGCAGCGAAAUGCGAUAAGUAAUGUGAAUUGUAGAAUUCAGUGAAUCAUCGAAUCUUUGAACGCACAUUGCGCCCCUUGGUAUUCCGAGGGGCAUGCCUGUUCGAGCGUCAUUACACCACUCAAGCUAUGCUUGGUAUUGGGUGCCGUCCUUAGUUGGGCGCGCCUUAAAGACCUCGGCGAGGCCACUCCGGCUUUAGGCGUAGUAGAAUUUAUUCGAACGUCUGUCAAAGGAGAGGAACUCUGCCGAUUGAAACCUUUAUUUUCCUAGGUUGACCUCGGAUCAGGUAGGGAUACCCGCUGAGCUUAAGCAUAUCAAUAAGCGGAGGA
Molecule: ribosomal RNA, 618 nt
Filed under: uncultured fungus
Lineage: Eukaryota; Fungi
Description: eukaryotic LSU rRNA
Rfam family: 5.8S ribosomal RNA (bases 248-401)
Source: RNAcentral